UUAAGACUUGAGUCUUCAGAGCACAGCCUGCCAGCAGAGCAGGGUUUAAAGGCUAAGCCUUGCAGGCUGGUCAGCUGACUGGGGCUGUCACAUGUCUGUGAGAGGGCCCAGGCCAGAACUAUAUAAGCCCUGGUCUGAGCUAGCCAGAGUCCAGGCUGAGACAGAGGGUAGACUCUGAAAGGCUCCAAGCAAAGUUGCAGCAGCCCUACAAGUGAGAGGAACUGGCAGUGGGGAUUCAGAGAUGUGGAGCCCAUAGCUCCCCCCUCACAAGAAGACCAAAAGGAACAGCAAGACUGGGAACUGAUCAUCUCUCUCCUAGAUAUUUCCUGAAGGUACACAGGAAACAGCCUUUCAGCCCCCAAAACAACUGUUCUCUCCAUUGAGGAACUCAAUGGCCCCUUCAGCCCCAGCAGAGAAUCACUGAGACUGGAGCUCUUGAAAUAAUCAGCUAAGGAUAGCAAAUAUAAGGUCACUCCUGCUCCAGCCAUGACAGCCCCCCACAAGGCAAGUCAAACCCUUGUAGCAAUGGUUCCUGUUCCAACUGGCUUCUCAGUCCAGCAGCAGCAAAAGAGCAUCAUUUUUCUUGAUCCACGUGCUCUUUCCUACCACCAGUCAUCUGCCUCACUCACCAUACACUUGGAUGUACCUUUAUUCUGUCCUUGCCAGCAAAACUAACUCAACAGGUAAGAAAAUCUGGAGGCUUAUUUUGAUAUGAAGAAUGCUAGUCUGCUGAGAAUCAAACAUGUUCUGUAUGGGAGCAUAUUCACAUAAACCAGGGAUGUAGGUUGUAGCCAUGUUGGUCUAAGGACAUAGGCAGACAAGGUUCUUUGGGUAAAUCUGAUAUCUUUUAUUAGACCAAUUAAAUAGUUGGAAACAAAAUUCUUAGCAAACUUUUGGGUUUAAAAACAGUUCGUCAGGC
Long non-coding RNA from Alligator mississippiensis (American alligator), 919 nucleotides. RefSeq lists it as uncharacterized. The record is from RefSeq and is a predicted model, not a curated record. NCBI's taxonomy places the organism in Eukaryota, Metazoa, Chordata, Crocodylia, Alligatoridae. The transcript is spliced from 3 exons.